CCUACGGGAGGCAGCAGUGGGGAAUUUUGGACAAUGGGCGCAAGCCUGAUCCAGCCAUUCCGCGUGCAGGAUGAAGGCCCUCGGGUUGUAAACUGCUUUUGUACAGAACGAAAAAGGCCUGGCUAAUAUCUGGGUCUCAUGACGGUACUGUAAGAAUAAGCACCGGCUAACUACGUGCCAGCAGCCGCGGUAAUACGUAGGGUGCGAGCGUUAAUCGGAAUUACUGGGCGUAAAGCGUGCGCAGGCGGUUUCGUAAGACCGAUGUGAAAUCCCCGGGCUCAACCUGGGAACUGCAUUGGUGACUGCGAAACUGGAGUGCGGCAGAGGGAGAUGGAAUUCCGCGUGUAGCAGUGAAAUGCGUAGAUAUGCGGAGGAACACCGAUGGCGAAGGCAGUCUCCUGGGC
RNAcentral lists this ribosomal RNA (404 nucleotides) under uncultured Streptococcus sp. RNAcentral's name for it is "bacterial SSU rRNA". It matches the Rfam family "Bacterial small subunit ribosomal RNA", at positions 338 to 734 of the family's 1533-position model. Lineage: Bacteria; Bacillati; Bacillota; Bacilli; Lactobacillales; Streptococcaceae. The record is from RNAcentral.